UAGGGAAUCUUCCACAAUGGACGCAAGUCUGAUGGAGCAACGCCGCGUGAUUGAAGAAGGUUUUCGGAUCGUAAAGCUCUGUCGUUGGUGAAGAAGGAUAGAGGCAGUAACUGGUCUUUAUUUGACGGUAAUCAACCAGAAAGUCACUGCUAACUACCUGCCAGCAGCCGCGGUAAUACGUAGGUGGCAAGCGUUGUCCGGUUUUAUUGGGCGUAAAGCGAGCGCAGGCGGAAUGAUAAGUCUGAUGUGAAAGCCCACGGCUCAACCGUGGAACUGCAUCGGAAACUGUCAUUCUUGAGUGCAGAAGAGGGGAGUGGAGUUCCGUGUGUGGCGGUGGAAUGCGUGGAUAUAUGGAAGAACACCAGUGGCGAAGGCGGAUCUCUGGUCUGCAACUGACGCUGAGGCUCGAAGGCAUGGGUAGCGAACAGG
This 429-nucleotide ribosomal RNA is filed under the name Bacillota bacterium. Its description in RNAcentral is "Firmicutes bacterium partial 16S ribosomal RNA". It matches the Rfam family "Bacterial small subunit ribosomal RNA", at positions 355 to 776 of the family's 1533-position model. The record is from RNAcentral. Lineage: Bacteria; Bacillati; Bacillota.